CAGCCGCCGCGGUAAUACGAAGGGUGCAAGCGUUAAUCGGAAUUACUGGGCGUAAAGCGUGCGUAGGCGGUUUGUUAAGUCUGCUGUGAAAUCCCCGGGCUCAACCUGGGAAUGGCAGUGGAUACUGGCAAGCUAGAGUGUGUCAGAGGAUGGCGGAAUUCCCGGUGUAGCGGUGAAAUGCGUAGAGAUCGGGAGGAACAUCAGUGGCGAAGGCAGCUACCUGGACCAACACUGACACUGAGGCACGAAAGCGUGGGGAGCAAACAGGAUUAGAUACCCCCGUAGUCCCUGUCUCUUAUAC
Molecule: ribosomal RNA, 301 nt
Filed under: uncultured bacterium
Lineage: Bacteria
Description: partial 16S ribosomal RNA
Rfam family: Bacterial small subunit ribosomal RNA
Source: RNAcentral